RNAcentral lists this ribosomal RNA (149 nucleotides) under Synchytrium papillatum. Its description in RNAcentral is "5.8S ribosomal RNA". It matches the Rfam family "5.8S ribosomal RNA". From Rfam's summary of the family: 5.8S ribosomal RNA (5.8S rRNA) is a component of the large subunit of the eukaryotic ribosome. It is transcribed by RNA polymerase I as part of the 45S precursor that also contains 18S and 28S rRNA. Lineage: Eukaryota; Fungi; Chytridiomycota; Chytridiomycetes; Synchytriales; Synchytriaceae. The record is from RNAcentral.
AACUUUUGGCAACGGAUCUCUUGGCUCUCGCAACGAUGAAGAACGCAGCGAAAUGCGAUACAUAUCAUGAAUUGCAGAACUCUGAAUGAUAAAUGUUUGAACGCAAAUUGCACCGAUCUUCUGGUCGGUAUGUCUGUCUGAGAAUCUUA